This is a long non-coding RNA of Gracilinanus agilis (Agile Gracile Mouse Opossum), 2560 nucleotides long. RefSeq lists it as uncharacterized. The transcript has 3 exons. Lineage: Eukaryota; Metazoa; Chordata; Mammalia; Didelphimorphia; Didelphidae. The record is from RefSeq and is a predicted model, not a curated record.
CAAGACUUUUUUUUUUUAAUCAAUUUUUAUUUUUUUCAGGAGCUUACGUUCCAAUAACACAUAAAGACCAGACCGAGUGGAUGGAAGAUAAUGCCAAAGGGAAGGAACUGGGGCCAAGGUCUGCAAAGAUCUUUAGGAAAUGGGAUUCGAGGACUUUUCACUUAAGGUCAACAAAAGGAAGUAGUGACUCUCUAGGACUUAUUGUCAGAUAAUGGAGUUCAUCUGCUACUUGCAUGUAGUAAAUUCAUUCAGCAGCUACUGAAAUGAAGCUCAUGUAAAAAUGACAGGGUGUGUCCUCUUGACCGAAACAAGCUAUGUGAGCCAGACCACUGAAUGGAAAGAGUUCAGAUGUUGCUUUGAGUGACUGAUGCUUGCAAAAACAGGUUUUGGUUUUAGAUGAAGUUUAUUUCUUAAUGUCUGGUAGAAAGGAAAUCAGGAAUGGUAAUGUCUUACUGAUGAAGAAAAACAAGGUAACUUGAAUUAUCCUAACAUUGUUUCUUUUGAGUGUCAUUACUUUUAAGAUAUAAUAAAAUUUUUAUUUAAAAUCUUAGGUCCUGGGUUUUUCUCUUUUAUGAAGCCAUAUAAAAUUUUGAACAAUGUCAAAGAAAAACUACACCAUUAUAUUUCUUUAAUAUAUUUUAUUCUGGAAAUAAAUCUUACCAAAUUGAUUGGGAAAGUUGUUAAUUCAUAAAUAACAUGAGAUUAGAAGCUAUACUUCUCCAGUAGAUGGGGCUUUUCAAAACAUAAAACCAUCUUAUUCUUUUUGUCAUGCUUUAAAGGGUACUAAAAAUGAUGGGGAAUUUUAAAUAGGCUUAUUUCAAGUGUGAUAAAGAUUCGGUGGUGAGAUUAGAACAUAGACAAGUUGAAAUACAUGGCAUUAAUUUCAGUACUAUACAAACAUUCUAGUUUCAUUAAUGCAGGACAGUUUUAUCAUUUGAUUCAUAUAACAGUUUUAUAACUAAUACACAUGCAGAACUUAAAAGUUGACUACCAAGUUUUUUAAUUUACUAAUGGAAACCUGAAACAUGAUUAAUAGGAAUAAAGCUGGUUAGGGUAGAGUUUACUGACAGUCAAGCAUCAAAGUGGUGGUGAGAAUAGUAGAUUUGUGAUUUCCAACUUGGUCAUUUUCCUUUAUGGUGAAGCAGACCUCUUGCAGACAAUAUUUAGCCUUUCAUAAAUGAAUAAUUGUUUAACCACUUUAUAUGCUCUGCUGUUAAGUGUUUGUUGCUUUUCGAUUCCUCUCAUCCUUUCUUGCUCCAGAAAUUCCCAUAUCCGCACUGCUGGUUCCACAUUACUGACUUGAGAAAAGCUAUAUUCAGCCCUCACAUGAGAGGACACCACCUGCAAUAUGUCCCCAUCAGAUAGGACUGUGGGUGUUCUCUUUCUGCAAUAUGUUGUUUCUUUGUCAAACAACUUACUAGGCUUCUAUCAGGUUCAGCAAAUAUUAAACAGCAUGAUCUUGUGCUAAAAUUCCAGUUCCCCUAAUUCUUUCCAUGAGAAGGAAAACAACUCCAAAAUAACUUAACAGUUUAGUCUACUUAACAAUGUUGAGUUCAGAGAAGAAUUCAAGGGCUGGGGUGGUGAGGGAAGGCAUCCUACAGGGCUGGUCCUCAAGGUGGGGAGCAGAAAGGGUGUGCAGCUGGUGCUUGAAUCCCCUGUGCUAAAGUGAGAAAAGGUGAAAGCUGGAAUCAGCUCUGGGUUCAGGUCCUGGCUUCAAGAGUUUCUGAUCUGUGUGACCUUGGAGAACUGGCUUGACCUCAUGGUCUGUAAAAAACAAUCGGACAGUGCUUAUGUGACAAAGCUUUGUAAAUGUGAGCUACUGCUACAAACCAUGGCCUGCAAGUGGGAAUGUGCAGCAUAUGUUGAUGCAGAAUGUAGGAACUAAACUAAACCGUGAAGUUAGACUUAACCUCUUGGCAGUGAGAGAUAUACGGAACCUAUAAAGCCUUUUGAGCAGAAAUAAUUUGACACACUUAUUCUGAUCAGCUUCACAGAAUGAAGGGUAGAUCGAAUCGGGUGAAACAGGACAGAAGCUCCCAUAGCAAUUCCUGCAAUAAAGCCCUGAAGGAGGGUUACUGCACAGGAGCCAAGGGAAAGAGCAGCCAAAUACAAGAGCAUCUACAUAAACUAUCCAGUUUGGCCAAAAAAAAAAGGAAGGAAUCUCAAUGUAUGGCUGAUUUACUAUGGCUUAUUUUAUAUGUACUCAUGGAAGUAUAUAUGAGUGAGCCCACUUUUAUAAAUUCAGUUAUGAUGUGUAGUGUGACAAGUUUUAUCCAAAGGUCAGGUGAUGCACCCCAGAUUAAGCUCUUCAGACUUUCCAACUACCUAGAUUACCAAGUUUUCCCUACUUGCUCAUUUGUCUCUUUGAUUCUCUGCCUCUCACCCAUAAGUCUUAGUUUUCCUUCUCCUUUUUCAAAAGAUUGGGACCCAGUCACUGCUCCUUGAAUGUUUAUGCAAUAACCAUAUAAUUUGAUAUUUCUGCUUCCCCUGUGACACUCUUCCUAACCAAAUCCCCAUACACAAGGAUCUCUCCAAAUUGAACAAGAAAGCAUUGUGUUAG